This is an RNA transcript of Drosophila innubila, 2017 nucleotides long. RefSeq lists it as uncharacterized. The record is from RefSeq and is a predicted model, not a curated record. Lineage: Eukaryota; Metazoa; Arthropoda; Insecta; Diptera; Drosophilidae. The transcript is spliced from 4 exons.
AAGAAUUUAUUUCUUGUAGUAGGCAUUGACUUUUAGGCUUAGUUCUUUAGAACAACCGUGUCGGUUACAGUUCAGUUUCUUGCCUCGGCCAAAAUUACAACUUAAAAUUUUUAGUAACAAAAUUUACGAUUUUAUUCUCUGCUACACCGCACAAAAUCGAAAUCGCAAAAAAAAUAAUAAUAAAAAAUAAAGUCAUUCAGCGUUUCGCAAAAUGGCAGCGGACCGGAGCUUAAUAUACAUGUUUGAAUUUGUGGUUGAUGACUUGCUGAUAACGAAACAGAACUUGUGCGCGCCGGAGGAAUAUCCGACCUGUGUUGAGAUCACAUUUCGCUCAAGCGUUUUCGUCAGCGUCUGCGAUCGCGAGUACGGAUCAUGUGUGAAUCCAAAUCAGCCGAAAUGUGGCAAGUGUUGCAUAUUUGCGCUGGAGUCGCCGGUCACCGAUAAGGAUCGCCUAUUGAUCCAUGUGUAUAAGAAGCGAACGAAUCGCUGCAAGUUUCUUAUUGGUUUAACUGAACUGCCGUUGAAGCCAAUAUUCGAUCGCGUCAAGGAAUCCUUUGAUAUUGAGAAUCCCAAUUGGGAAAAGAUAUGGAAAGAGCAACUGCAGAUGUUGCCAAGAAUGAAGGGACAAAACAAGGAUGUUAUGGAUAAUUGCGCUUGCUACGAUCCCGGAAAUGAGAGACGCGAGCAAUUGUGUCCCACAUCCGAGUUAACCAAGCGUCUGCUGCCACUCUUCAAUCUUUGCAAGCAACAGACCGGCAACAUGGUCCUCAUCAUGCGAUUGCUUUGCAAUGGACCGGCUAUUGUGUCUACCUUCUCACUCAAUCGCCCAGUCUGCUCCCGUAAUCCAAAGUGCCCGGAUCCCUGUUGUCCGCCACCACCAUGUCCACAGCCCUGCCCACCCUGUCCAUCUUGUGGCCCGUGCGAGCCUUGCCCAGGAGAUCCCUGUUGUGGCGGCAACACCAGCGCCACAGGUGGUCCUAUGGACACUGGCAAGAAGUGUCGUGGUGGUUGUCAACCCUGCCCACUUCCACAGUGCACCAUGCCUGAUCCUUGCGCUAAAGAUGAUGCAAAUAAAUUGCCGAAAUGCUUGCGCUAUUUCAGCUGCAACCUGGACAAAUUGUGCCCCUGUGAAUAUUGUGAGGAUGAGUUUGAUCGUGAGUGUCCCACUGUGCCCUCAAAGCGUUGCAAGUCGGUCAUUGAGCAGCGCCUAGAACCUUGUGGUCCCUGUGGUGGCGUGCCUGCUUAUCCACGUUGGGUACAGGACAAGAAGGCUAAGGAGCAGGCGGAUACGAAAGCCGAAAAGAAGCAACAGGAAAAGGAAAAGAAGGAAGGCAAGGAAGGUAAAGAAGGCAAGGGUGGCAAGAAACGUCAAGCGGGCGGCAGCUGUUUCUGUGAAACAUCCAAUUUAACCCCCUCGGAAGAAUAUGCCGAUCCCUGCGGUCAUUGCUGUCCCGAAUACGCGAGUUGUUGCGACCUAGCACGCAAUCGAGCUAUACGGAAAUUGCGCCAUUUAAUGGUUAAAUACAAUAUCCAAGUUGACUAACGCGAUCCGUACUCAAGUCCAAUUUACAUGAUCAUAUAACGCAUAUUCAAACUGGCCAAUAAGUAGAGGAGAAAGAACUAAAAAGGGCCAAGAUGGAACAAUCUAUAUUUAAGUGACCAAAAGUGAUCGACGAUUGUGACGAGUGUGAAGAGUGUUGUCGUUUCCAAAUGCCAAUGCGAUUGCGUCUGCAGUUUGUGUUUUGAUUAAUCAACGUGUUGAGAUCCCUAUCCAGGACCACAAGAGAAUGACAACGAACAGGAAAAGAUGUCGAGAGGGGAUUGUAAAGUUGUGGGAAGUUGGCAUCCGAUCUACGACCGUGAAUAUUGUCAGCCUGGAGGAUUGCGAUUACAAUAAAUACCUUAACAAUAUGCUGCAGCGCAGCGUUUUGGCCAACUUAUCUGCAUUUGUUUUGGUCUUUGCUAUUGUUCUUUUUAGUUCUUUUCUUUUACUUGCAACAAAUUCUCCAAUUUUCAA